This 161-nucleotide ribosomal RNA is filed under the name uncultured bacterium. Its description in RNAcentral is "partial 16S rRNA". It matches the Rfam family "Bacterial small subunit ribosomal RNA", at positions 358 to 511 of the family's 1533-position model. The record is from RNAcentral.
GGAAUCUUCCACAAUGGGCGAAAGGCCUGAUGGAGCAACGCCGCGUGUGUGAUGAAGGGUUUCGGCUCGUAAACACUGUUGUAAGAGAAGAAUGACAUUGAGAGUAACUGUUCAAUGUGUGACGGUAUCUUACCAGAAAGGAACGGCUAAAUACGUGCCAG